UCUUGCCGGUGUGGCCGGUGUAUACAUGAAGAACCACCCCGUAGCAUAUACCUCGUUGACUAUGCCUGCUAUUAUGCCGGCCCAACCUGUCGUCUCCCCAUUUCCAGUUUCAUAGAGCAUUGCAAGCUCAUGCCAUCAUUCUAUGAUGAUCGUCACUACUACAAUAAAGGUUUGUAGGGGCGGGUAAAAACGUAUUUUAGGGGCAGGUAGAAAAUCCAUGGCUAGUUCUCGCUGCUAAAAAUACCCUUUUUUCAGGGACGGAAAACGAACCUGCCCCUAAAAAUCCAUUUCUAGGGGCGCGCCACCCCCUCAACCGCCUCUGGAAAUGCAUUUGUAGGGGCGGUCCACAAGCCCACCCGCCCCUACAAAUGAUUUUCCCGCCAAUAAUUUUUCAAAUUUGAAAGUUUCAAUUAUGUUUUCCGCUAUUUUUUGCAAUUUGCCACCAAAUCAAUUCAUUCAAUGUAGUAGGCGAUCCAAACAUAGAAUAUAUUCAGUAAAUAAAAAUUCUUAAGCAUACAAAAUUAAAUUAUAUGAAAACUAAACAUCAUUACAGUACAAAUUGUUAAAGUGUAUAUUGAAUACAUGUUUUUCUCCUAAUCCUCCCUAGGACCGCUACUUGUGGUGGCACGGUGUUGUUGGUUCUCCCAUUCACGAAGCCCAAUGUAUAUAUCUUCGAUUGCCAAAUCUUGUACUUCAUGGAAAAAUUUGCCCCUCGCAUUGACCACUUCAUGCAUAAUGAAACAACACAAAUCGUCGACUACAUUUAGAAGUUGUUUCUCGUGGAGCUGGCUACCGUAUUCUUCAGGAUGAAUCUGCAAUUAUGGAAAUUAUGGUAAAAUUAUGCAAGUGUUAGUGAUAGUAAAAAAAAUGUGUAGACAUAUGUAUAUAACCCUAAUAAAGAGUAGCCCCUUACACGUUCUGGAUCUGUAGUAUAUCUCCCUUGCUACCUCAUAUUCUUGCACAUGUAGUACCCAGAGUACACCGAACCUGUGGGUUGCUUGUGGCACGGGAAUCUUGUGCGCAAAGUCAUUUCAAUAGGUUUGUCGGCAGGAUGAGCUCCUCCUUUACGAAUGUAGAACUUGUAAGCCCUGUUUUAAAAUGAAUGAAAAAAUAAAUGAAAGUUAAUUUAUAUAUGUAUAUUUCUUUAGAGAAAUAAACAUGAUGUGCAUGGGAAAGAUAAAAAGAAAUUCACUCACAAUUAUAUAAUUUUUAAGAAUUCUUCGUAACGCUUGGUUGACCAAUCCAAGGUGUCGAAAACUAGAAUUUUUCCGAGCUUUGGUUGUAUAAGGAAAGCAAUCCAGUGAUUUCUGAGGAAAAAAUAUUAUGUACAUUUUGUAGGCAUGGAUCGGAGCAAUGGUUUAUUAUGAAGUGGUCGAUAUUAGACUUACUGGAUGUGGUAGUCAUCAGUGUCCGGCAUCCAUUUUGGCGAGGCGUGCGCAGCCUCGCAAAUCGUAGCAGGGUCAAGGUAUCGAACCUUUUUAUUUAUAAUAAUGGCAUCAUAUGUUUGCAUCCUAUAGAUAAUAAUGUAUGACAAUUACAUAUUUAUGCACAUAACAUAGUUCUUUAUGCGGUAAUACAAAAUGAAUUAGUAUCAUGAGCACUUACAUGCACCAGAGUCGAACCAUUUCAAUACCAAGUUGUUGGUGAUGGAACAUGUGUUGUAUAUAUGCAAAAUCGAACAUGAUAUCAAAGAUUCCGGGCCCCUUAGGUCCGAAAACAUCCGGAUGGUGCAGAGCAUAUAUGGUUUUAAGGCCAAGUAUACAUGCCCUCUUGUACCAAUGAUGAAGCCUCCGCAUAUAAGGAGGACAAUCCCUUAGUGCCCAGUCCGGUAGCAAGUCCUUUCCAUACACAAACUUUAAAGGAGCAUCCUCCAAGUCUUGAAUUUCAUCAACCCCAAUUGACAAUUUGAAUUCCGUGUCAGUGCAUGGCGUAGAAAAGCCGGAUAGUCUGCUGCCACUAGAACUUGCUAGAUUAUCCUUGGACUUAGCCUUCUUAGACUUUGCAUCAGACUUUAUAUUUGUGGUGUGCCAUCUAUUAACGAUCUCUGACCCUUCUUUGUCCUUUUGGUAUGGUCGCAGCAUUCGAGGCAGCAAUGAUCGAGCAAUCGAAGUCAGGUUCAGUGAUCGAGUCUGUGGUGCAUGUAGUGAUGGCUCUUGUGUUGGUGAUACUCUGGCCUGUGGUGAUGGCUCUCGUGGUUGUGGUGAUACAGGGGCAUGUGGGGAUGGCUAUCAUGAUUGUGGUGAUACGGGGCUUGUGGGGAUGGCUGUUGCGGUGGUGGUGAUACGGGGCCUUGUGGGGAUGGUUGUUGUGGUGUUGGUGACACGUCGGCCUGAGGGGAUGGCUCUUGUUGUGGUGGCGAUACGGGGCCUUUGUGGGGGUGGUUGUUGUGGUGGUGGUGAUACGUCGGCCUGAGGGGAUGAGUGUUGGGAAAUUGGAGCCGCUGGUGAUGGGGUGGGCCUGAGGUGUUGGCUCUCGUGAAAAUGGAGCAGCUGGUGAUGCCUCUUGUGGUUCUGUUGAUGGCAGGGCCUGAGUAGCCAAAGGUACCUGAUCAACCAGUAAGAUAUCUCGUUUAUGUCAUUGGAUGGUGGUACCAACACAUUCUCCAAGGCAACUCUUUCCAUCUGCAGUGGGGAAAUCUAUCUCGUUAUCCUCAAAGCUUGAUUUUAAGAGUUGCUCUACUUGUACGCAUGCAUAUCUGAUGGGGAUCGGUUUUCCCUCAAAUAAACCCCUAGCCGGAUGCACCUGGGCCUUGGCUA
RNA transcript from Panicum virgatum (switchgrass), 2756 nucleotides. RefSeq lists it as uncharacterized. The record is from RefSeq and is a predicted model, not a curated record. Lineage: Eukaryota; Viridiplantae; Streptophyta; Magnoliopsida; Poales; Poaceae. The transcript has 2 exons.